GAUCCGACGGCUCGGUGCUUGACGACGGAAAGGACAUUGUA
This 41-nucleotide ribosomal RNA is filed under the name Hematodinium sp. RNAcentral describes it as "partial ribosomal RNA". Lineage: Eukaryota; Dinophyceae; Syndiniales; Syndiniaceae. The record is from RNAcentral.